CCCUUAGAUGUUCUGGGCUGCACGCGUGCUACACUGAUAUUGCCAAUAUGUCAUUCUUAUCCGAAAUGGAUUGGGUAAUCAAGUAAUGAAAUUUCAUGCUUGGAAUCGGUAAUUGCAAUUUUAUCGUGAACGAGGAAUUCCUAGUAAGCACUAGUCAUCAGCUAAUGUUGAUUAUGUCCCUGCCCUUUGUACACACCGCCCGUCGCUACUACUGAUUGGGUGAUCCGGUGAGCUGUUCGGCCAUAGCAAUGUUUCUUGAGCAGGGCAAUGAAUGUUUCGCAAACCUUGCCACUUAGAGGAAGGAGAAGUCGUAACA
This 316-nucleotide ribosomal RNA is filed under the name uncultured eukaryote. Its description in RNAcentral is "partial 18S ribosomal RNA". It matches the Rfam family "Eukaryotic small subunit ribosomal RNA", at positions 1470 to 1796 of the family's 1831-position model. The record is from RNAcentral.